Molecule: ribosomal RNA, 990 nt
Filed under: uncultured organism
Description: bacterial SSU rRNA
Rfam family: Bacterial small subunit ribosomal RNA
Source: RNAcentral
CAUCAGCUAGUUGGUAGGGUAACGGCCUACCAAGGCGAAGACGGGUAGGGGGCCUGAGAGGGUGACCCCCCACACGGGCACUGAGACACGGGCCCGACUUCUACGGAAGGCAGCAGUGAGGGAUAUUGCCCAAUGGACGGAAGUCUGAGGCAGCAACGCCGCGUGCGGGAUGAAGGCCUUCGGGUUGUAAACCGCUUUUCUGCGCGAAGAGGAAGGACGGUAGCGCAGGAAGAAGUCUCGGCUAACUACGUGCCAGCAGCCGCGGUAAAACGUAGGAGGCGAGCGUUAUCCGGAUUUACUGGGUGUAAAGCGCGUGCAGGCGGUCAUGUAAGUGGUGCGUGAAAGCGCCCGGCUCAACCGGGCGAGGCCGUGCCAAACUGCGUGACUGGAGGCAGGUAGAGGCGCGUGGAAUUCCGGGUGUAGUGGUGAAAUGCGUAGAUAUCCGGAGGAACACCAGUGGCGAAGGCGGCGCGCUGGGCCUGACCUGACGCUAAGACGCGAAAGCAUGGGGAGCGAACGGGAUUAGAAACCCCGGUAGUCCAUGCUGUAAACGCUGCAGACUAGGUGUUGCGUGCGACGAGUAUGCAGUGCCGAAGCCAACGUGAUAAGUCUGCCACCUGGGGACUACGGCCGCAAGGUUAAAACUCAAAGGAAUUGACGGGGGCCCGCACAAGCAGCGGAGCGUGUGGUUUAAUUCGAGGCUACACGAAGAACCUUACCUGGGCUUGACAUGGCGGUGGUAGGGAACCGAAAGGGGACCGACCUUCGGGAGCCGUCACAGGUGCUGCAUGGCUGUCGUCAGCUCGUGUCGUGAGAUGUUCGGUUAAGUCCGGUAACGAGCGCAACCCUCGCCGCUAGUUACAAGUGUCUAGCGGGACUGCCCGUUGAACGCGGGAGGAAGGUGGGGAUGACGUCAAGUCAGCAUGGCCUUUAUGUCCAGGGCUACACACACGCUACAAUGGCCGGUACAAUGGGUCGCCAACCCGCGAG